RNAcentral lists this long non-coding RNA (396 nucleotides) under Rattus norvegicus (Norway rat). RNAcentral's name for it is "long non-coding RNA NONRATT019374". Lineage: Eukaryota; Metazoa; Chordata; Mammalia; Rodentia; Muridae. The record is from RNAcentral.
GCAGCCAAGGGCCUUUCAGAAAGAACUAUAAACAGUCGUGAUCAAGGGGAAACAUUGAAUGUUCUUCAACCAAGCUUUACUCUCUCAACUCACCCUCAGAAUCCGAUUGAAGUCUUCCUUGUCAACUCUUAGGAAGUGACAAUUAUCUUCCCGAAGAACAAUGGAUGCAGCUCUCGGAGCAUCGUUCACCAGAGCUAACUUGCCAAAGUCAUCUCCCUCAUGCAGGGUGCAGACCACACCCUGGGGAGAGCAGGACAGUCAGGAAAAAAAAAAGGGACCAAAAACCCUCCUUCCCCUCCCCUGCCACCAAACACCGUGCCUGUGAGUGGACUGCAUUAGUGUUAUAAUCAGAUUAAAAUGCUUCAUAUUUCUUUCACAGAAUAAACACAGUCAAUG